This 253-nucleotide ribosomal RNA is filed under the name uncultured bacterium. RNAcentral describes it as "partial 16S ribosomal RNA". It matches the Rfam family "Bacterial small subunit ribosomal RNA", at positions 524 to 776 of the family's 1533-position model. The record is from RNAcentral.
UACGUAGGGGGCAAGCGUUGUCCGGAUUCAUUGGGCGUAAAGAGCGUGUAGGCGGCCAGGUAGGUCGGUUGUGAAAACUGGAGGCUCAACCUUCAGAGGUCGACCGAAACCAUCUGGCUAGAGUCCGGGAGAGGAGAGUGGAAUUCCUGGUGUAGCGGUGAAAUGCGCAGAUAUCAGGAGGAACACCGGUGGCGAAGGCGGCAUCCUGGACCAACACUGACACUGAAAAGCGAAAGCCAGGGGAGCAAACGGG